This 849-nucleotide ribosomal RNA is filed under the name uncultured bacterium. Its description in RNAcentral is "bacterial SSU rRNA". It matches the Rfam family "Bacterial small subunit ribosomal RNA", at positions 60 to 876 of the family's 1533-position model. The record is from RNAcentral.
AGUCGAGCGAGCGGAACUAAAGAUUUACUUCGGUAAUGACGUUAGGAAAGCGAGCGGCGGAUGGGUGAGUAACACGUGGGGAACCUGCCCCAUAGUCCGGGAUACCACUUGGAAACAGGUGCUAAUACCGGAUAAGAAAGCAGAUCGCAUGAUCAGCUUUUAAAAGGCGGCGUAAGCUGUCGCUAUGGGAUGGCCCCGCGGUGCAUUAGCUAGUUGGUAAGGUAAAGGCUUACCAAGGCGAUGAUGCAUAGCCGAGUUGAGAGACUGAUCGGCCACAUUGGGACUGAGACACGGCCCAAACUCCUACGGAAGGCAGCAGUAGGGAAUCUUCCACAAUGGACGCAAGUCUGAUGGAGCAACGCCGCGUGAGUGAAGAAGGUUUUCGGAUCGUAACGCUCUGUUGUUGGUGAAGAAGGAUAGAGGUAGUAACUGGCCUUUAUUUGACGGUAAUCAACCAGAAAGUCACGGCUAACUACGUGCCAGCAGCCGCGGUAAUACGUAGGUGGCAAGCGUUGUCCGGAUUUAUUGGGCGUAAAGCGAGCGCAGGCGGAAGAAUAAGUCUGAUGUGAAAGCCCUCGGCUUAACCGAGGAACUGCAUCGGAAACUGUUUUUCUUGAGUGCAGAAGAGGAGAGUGGAACUCCAUGUGUAGCGGUGGAAUGCGUAGAUAUAUGGAAGAACACCAGUGGCGAAGGCGGCUCUCUGGUCUGCAACUGACGCUGAGGCUCGAAAGCAUGGGUAGCGAACAGGAUUAGAUACCCUGGUAGUCCAUGCCGUANACGAUGAGUGCUAAGUGUUGGGAGGUUUCCGCCUCUCAGUGCUGCAGCUAACGCAUUAAGCACUCCGCCUGG